RNAcentral lists this ribosomal RNA (1451 nucleotides) under Proteus mirabilis. RNAcentral describes it as "partial 23S ribosomal RNA". It matches the Rfam family "Bacterial large subunit ribosomal RNA", at positions 588 to 2025 of the family's 2925-position model. Lineage: Bacteria; Pseudomonadati; Pseudomonadota; Gammaproteobacteria; Enterobacterales; Morganellaceae. The record is from RNAcentral.
AUGGGGUGACUGCGUACCUUUUGUAUAAUGGGUCAGCGACUUAUAUUCUGUAGCAAGGUUAACCGUAUAGGGGAGCCGUAGGGAAACCGAGUCUUAACUGGGCGAAUGAGUUGCAGGGUAUAGACCCGAAACCCGGUGAUCUAUCCAUGGGCAGGUUGAAGGUUGGGUAACACUAACUGGAGGACCGAACCGACUAAUGUUGAAAAAUUAGCGGAUGACUUGUGGAUGGGGGUGAAAGGCCAAUCAAACCGGGAGAUAGCUGGUUCUCCCCGAAAGCUAUUUAGGUAGCGCCUCGUGAACUCAUCUUCGGGGGUAGAGCACUGUUUCGACUAGGGGGUCAUCCCGACUUACCAACUCGAUGCAAACUGCGAAUACCGAAGAAUGUUAUCACGGGAGACACACGGCGGGUGCUAACGUCCGUCGUGAAGAGGGAAACAACCCAGACCGCCAGCUAAGGUCCCAAAGUCAUGGUUAAGUGGGAAACGAAGUGGGAAGGCUCAGACAGCCAGGAUGUUGGCUUAGAAGCAGCCAUCAUUUAAAGAAAGCGUAAUAGCUCACUGGUCGAGUCGGCCCGCGCGGAAGAUGUAACGGGGCUAAACCAUGCACCGAAGCUGCGGCAGCGACACGUAGUGUUGUUGGGUAGGGGAGCGUUCUGUAAGCCUGCGAAGGUGUACUGUGAGGUAUGCUGGAGGUAUCAGAAGUGCGAAUGCUGACAUAAGUAACGAUAAUGCGGGUGAAAAACCCGCACGCCGGAAGACCAAGGGUUCCUGUCCAACGUUAAUCGGGGCAGGGUGAGUCGACCCCUAAGGCGAGGCUGAAAAGCGUAGUCGAUGGGAAACGGGUUAAUAUUCCCGUACUGGUGGUAACUGCGAUGGGGGAACGGAGAAGGCUAGGUUGUCCGGGCGACGGUCGUCCCGGUUCAAGCAGGUAGGCAGAGUGAUUAGGCAAAUCCGGUCACUUAAUGCUGAGAUGUGAUGACGAACCACCAAGGUGGUGAAGCAAUUGAUGCCCCGCUUCCAGGAAAAGCCUCUAAGCUUCAGGUUACCAACAAUCGUACCCCAAACCGACACAGGUGGUCAGGUAGAGAAUACUCAGGCGCUUGAGAGAACUCGGGUGAAGGAACUAGGCAAAAUGGUGCCGUAACUUCGGGAGAAGGCACGCUGGCGGUAGGUAAAGUCCCUCGCGGACGGCGCUGAAGCCAGUCGAAGAUACCAGCUGGCUGCAACUGUUUAUUAAAAACACAGCACUGUGCAAACACGAAAGUGGACGUAUACGGUGUGACGCCUGCCCGGUGCUGGAAGGUUAAUUGAUGGGGUCAGCGUAAGCGAAGCUCCUGAUCGAAGCCCCAGUAAACGGCGGCCGUAACUAUAACGGUCCUAAGGUAGCGAAAUUCCUUGUCGGGUAAGUUCCGACCUGCACGAAUGGCGUAAUGAUGGCCAGGCUGUCUCCAC